GGUGUAAACAGGAAACCAGCAGCUUCUGAGCUGUCUGUUCUGAUCCUGAGGAGCUGAAGAAAGAUGACUCCGCCUCCUCCUUCAUCUCCACCAAUCCCAAAGCCUCGGGUUCGUUAUUCCAAGAACAGCCGAAGCUCCGCCUUCUCCCUGGACAGAGAUGGGACUGAUGAAGAUCUGGAUCAUGACUUGUCUAAUGGACAGCACCUCAGCACAGGUAAACCCAC
Nematolebias whitei (Rio pearlfish) is the source of this 224-nucleotide long non-coding RNA. RefSeq lists it as uncharacterized. The record is from RefSeq and is a predicted model, not a curated record. Lineage: Eukaryota; Metazoa; Chordata; Actinopteri; Cyprinodontiformes; Rivulidae. The transcript is spliced from 3 exons.